RNAcentral lists this unclassified non-coding RNA (2629 nucleotides) under Limulus polyphemus (Atlantic horseshoe crab). RNAcentral's name for it is "wiskott-Aldrich syndrome protein family member 2- like, transcript variant X4". The record is from RNAcentral. Lineage: Eukaryota; Metazoa; Arthropoda; Merostomata; Xiphosura; Limulidae.
AGAUCGCGUUACUUUGAUCUCCAUUUUGUAAAAGAUAGAAUGGGUGGAUUAAGGUUUUUCUGCUUGUAGUUCUUUUCUGUUUUCAGCUUGGAAAAAUAAGAGAAGUUAUUGAUACAGAAAAUACAUUUUCUUUUCCAGCUGUGCAAUGCUGGAUAUUAAAUAGAAAUGAAGAUUGGUAUUCGUCUUCGCUCACAUUGAAGGGCAAGAAAGAUGCCACUACUGCAGCGUCUUAUAGAACCUGUCCACGUUAGUCGUGGAACCCUUAACUUCGAAGAGAAGGGUUUGCCUGCCGUAGCUAUACGUGUACAGAAUGAAUUGGAGUGGGUUACGAACGGCUCCUUGUCCAACAUUAUACGGGAGUUGUCUUCUCUGUCCAAGCAUGCCGAUGACAUGUUUGGAACUCUUUUUAGAGAAGCAACUUUCUUAGUAGAACGGUCCAUUGACUUACAAGCACGAAUUGACAAACUAGCCGUGAAAGUGACUCAGCUAGACUCUACUGUUGAGGAAGUGUCUCUCCAAAACAUUCAUUUGAGAAAAGCUUUUAAAAGUAGUGUAACGUAUGAUCAAGAGGUUGUGGCACGUGAUACCAUCCCUCUCGCCAUGAAAGAAACUUAUGACAAGUGUGCCACACCGCCACCUUUGAGUAAACUAAACCCGUAUAGGGAGGAUGGUAAAGAUGGUUUGAAGUUCUACACUGAUCCUAAUUACUUCUUUGACCUAUGGAGACAAGAAAUGUUAAAAGACACAGAAAGAAUCAUGCUGGAUAAAGGCAAAAAGCAAGCUCAUGGGAAGGAUGGAAUUGAGCCACAUCGACCACGUCCAGAAGGAAAAAGGCACAAAAAGGUUCGGCAGCCUCACAACACAAGAGAGAAGUUCCGCCAAAUGGCGACAGCUCAUGAAUUCAUUGACAAAACUGCUAACUAUUCCCAGAUUCAUUAUACCAGUUUAGUGACAAGACAAUCAAGCGUGCCUCGUGAUGGCACUGAUCAAGGGUGUCCGUUGAGACCCAGUAGUUUGGAAAUACAUGCCUACGUAUCUGAAAAAGAACAGGGUAGCCCUACUCAUCGUUACCCUCCACCACCUCCGGCAUAUACAGAACAUCCUCAGUCACCUCGACAGCAGUACAUUUCUCCACCCCCUUACAGUGUAAUGUCCCCUGACCACUUUGGAAACUUGGCUGGUGGUACGCCAACAAGACAAGCCAAUCGUAUUAGCACCAUGAGGCCAUCUCAACCACCUCCUGCUCCACCAGUGUGUGGCUCUUUAAGUUCCAGUGGUACUUCCACACCAACCAUUUCUGAAGGAGGUACACCAUCUAGUGGUGCUGGAAGGUAUAGGGCUUCUAGCCAUUCUAGGGAGAACCUUCCUCCUCCUCCUCCCCCACCAGAAGGUAUACUAACUAAUGGUGGGCCAUCAAACUACAUGGUUCAGAAGGUGUUACAGAAUCAAGGACCUGGGGGAUCUGCACCUCAUACGCCCACACACAAUAAUCUUCAGUCUGGAGGGUCAUGGCACAGUACUCCCACUCAUCACCCACAUUUGAUGAAUCACUUACCAAAUUCUCAAGGACACAGUCGUGAGCACACACCCACUCCUGAAAUCCAGCCGGGAACACUAGAGCAUCUCGAUCUUCCUCCUCCCCCACCAACCCCAACACCUCACAUGGUUGAGGAUCAGACAGCUCCUUCCCCUCUUCCUCCACCACCACCAGUCUUAAAUGGGGGAGACAGUUUACCACCACCACCUCCCCCUCUCCCAACACUUGAAAUGCUCUCUGAUGGACCUGUAAUGAAUGGAGAUGUUUUAUCUCUAGCAAACAGGAUUUCGGAAAUGGUAUCAUUGUCAUCCGAGUCAACUAGCACAGCUUCUAGCAACAGUAAGGUCAGUGAAACAAAGGAAGUUAAGUCCAAACUGGCUCCUACAGCACAGACAGAUGCUAGAAGUGACCUUCUGGCUGCUAUACGAGAAGGAAUCAAGCUACGGAGGGUGGAAGACAUUAAACAGAAAGAAGUGGAGAAAGCUGCUCCACUUCACGACGUAGCAUCAAUUUUGGCAAGACGGGUUGCCAUCGAGUUCUCUGAUUCCGAGUCGGAGUCGGAGAGUGAGUAUGACAGUGAUAUCUGGAAUGAUGAGACAGAGUGCUGAGGAAUGUUUUUUGAAGCGAAGGGGUGUUUGAGCUUCAAUAGAGCAAGCUUCUUAAGAAAUUCCAGGAGGUAUCAGAAACCAAUAUUGCUUUUGUGUACCGACAUCUCAUCUGAGUGCAUGUGGUUACACAUUGAGGUUAAGCCUAAAGAAGCAGCCUGUUGUUUUAAUAUCCCUCAAGAUGUGUAUAAGUGGACGUACGAUACGAUAGGAUGUAAUAUUCCAUUUCAUAGGACAAUAUUAUAUUAUUGUCGUAUAGAAACAACAGCAAUACUACCUUCUGUUUUGCUGUCUUGGAGGAUCAAAACUGGUUAGCUUAUUUAAGUUACUGGUCCAGUAACUGAGAGUUUCCGAAGAAAAACUAAAAAUUUAUACAUUCUUCCCAAUAAUCCUACAGUUUACGGUGGAUUUAAGUGGAAAUAACAAGGCUCUAGUGGAAUACGGUGCUUUGAGUCUUCGAUCACCUUCAGGAGGCUCUCUAUUUGUU